GUGGGGAAUUUUGGACAAUGGGCGAAAGCCUGAUCCAGCCAUGCCGCGUGCAGGAUGAAGGCCUUCGGGUUGUAAACUGCUUUUGUACGGAACGAAAAGACUCCUUCUAAUAAAGGGGGUCCAUGACGGUACCGUAAGAAUAAGCACCGGCUAACUACGUGCCAGCAGCCGCGGUAAUACGUAGGGUGCAAGCGUUAAUCGGAAUUACUGGGCGUAAAGCGUGCGCAGGCGGUUAUAUAAGACAGAUGUGAAAUCCCCGGGCUCAACCUGGGAACUGCAUUUGUGACUGUAUAGCUAGAGUACGGUAGAGGGGGAUGGAAUUCCGCGUGUAGCAGUGAAAUGCGUAGAUAUGCGGAGGAACACCGAUGGCGAAGGCAAUCCCCUGGACCUGUACUGACGCUCAUGCACGAAAGCGUGGGGAGCAAACAGGAUUAGAAACCUCGGUAGUCC
RNAcentral lists this ribosomal RNA (450 nucleotides) under uncultured bacterium. Its description in RNAcentral is "partial 16S ribosomal RNA". It matches the Rfam family "Bacterial small subunit ribosomal RNA", at positions 354 to 796 of the family's 1533-position model. The record is from RNAcentral.